This 492-nucleotide ribosomal RNA is filed under the name uncultured bacterium. Its description in RNAcentral is "partial 16S ribosomal RNA". It matches the Rfam family "Bacterial small subunit ribosomal RNA", at positions 29 to 507 of the family's 1533-position model. The record is from RNAcentral.
AGUGAACGCUGGCGGUAGGCCUAACACAUGCAAGUCGAACGGCAGCACAGUAAGAGCUUGCUCUUACGGGUGGCGAGUGGCGGACGGGUGAGGAAUACAUCGGAAUCUACUUUUUCGUGGGGGAUAACGUAGGGAAACUUACGCUAAUACCGCAUACGACCUACGGGUGAAAGCAGGGGAUCUUCGGACCUUGCGCGAUUGAAUGAGCCGAUGUCGGAUUAGCUAGUUGGCGGGGUAAAGGCCCACCAAGGCGACGAUCCGUAGCUGGUCUGAGAGGAUGAUCAGCCACACUGGAACUGAGACGCGGUCCAGACUCCUACGGGAGGCAGCAGUGGGGAAUAUUGGACAAUGGGCGCAAGCCUGAUCCAGCUAUACCGCGUGGGUGAAGAAGGCCUUCGGGUUGUAAAGCCCUUUUGUUGGGAAAGAAAAGCAGCAGGUUAAUACCCCGCUGUUCUGACGGUACCCAAAGAAUAAGCACCGGCUAACUUCGUG